CCGAGUUUACAAACUCCCAAACCCUUUGUGAACCUUACCAUAUCGUUGCUUCGGCGGGACCGCCCCGGCGCCCUCGGGCCCGGAGCCAGGCGCCCGCCGGAGGCCCCAAACUCUUAUGUCUUUAGUGGUUUUCUCCUCUGAGUGACACAUAAACAAAUAAAUAA
RNAcentral lists this unclassified non-coding RNA (164 nucleotides) under soil metagenome. RNAcentral's name for it is "partial internal transcribed spacer 1". The record is from RNAcentral.